UUCCAAAUUAGGGUUCACCUUGAGAGCUAUAAUGGGAGGGAACCAUAGCAAAGCCCAAAGAUGCAGAUUGGGCCUGGGCCUCUGGCUGCUUCCCCUGCUUCAAUGCUUAGGGCCCCAGCCCCAGCCUGGGCUCACCGAGGCUUGGCACCUAUGACUUAGUGCUUCAAAGUCCUAGACAGCAUCUUCCUAAGAGGCAGUGCUCCUCCCCCUGCCCCCCAAUAGCUGGGUGAGAGAAUAGGAAUUCCCUGGUGGUCAACCAUCUCUUACAGGAGACUCCCAAACUCCCAGAGCUUUUGGAGAAUCCUUGCUCAUUUGGACCUGAACCUUGAGUAUGAGGACCAGCUGUAUGCUUGCUUGGAAGAGGAGGUAAAGGCUGUGAGUGAGGGGAACGGGUUGUUGGUUGCAGGGAGCUGUGUGAAGACUUUAAGUGUUAUUCUCUCUCUCUCUCUCUCUCUCUCUGUCUGUCUUCCUCCUCCUCCUCUCUGUGUGUGUGUAUGUGUGUGCUUUUGUCUGUCUCUCUGUGUGUCUGUCACUCUGUCUCUGUCAUUUCUGUCUCUGUCAUUGCUGUCUCUCUCUGUCUCUCCAGUCUGUUUCUCUCUGUCUGUCUCUCUCUCUCCCCAACCCUCAGUUGCUACUGGUGGGGGUGAACUACAAGUUGCUGGAAGUGGAUAAAGGAAAGCUAAUGCUGAAUCCCAUUCUACAGAGGUCUAAGCAACAGCCCCCAAUUGUCUCACAUGGCCCUCUAAAGUCCCAAAGAGUAGGGUAGGGUAGGAAGAGUGAGGGAAAGUAGAGCUCAUUCAGCCUUCAACUUCAUCUCUUUUCUAGGCCUAUACCUGGCUGAGCUGCCUCACUCUGCCUCAUAUGGGAAUAUUCCCUUCCCCUCCUGCAAAAGUGAGCUAUCUACUUGCUUCCCCCUUUCUCAGCCCCAUUCCUACCAUCCCUGCCUCCCAUCUCAACCUUCUUUUCUUUAAUUCUAACCUUGAAUUUACUAAGGUAACCUUCCCAAGACAUUACCCAAGAUGAUACCUGCCCCUGUACCUCCUAGAUUUCUUAGCUCCUGCAGGUAAGUCCAGGAAAUUCUCUUUGGGCAAGUCUAAAUUAAUAAACACAGGUUUAGAUGCCUCAAACUGAAUGCCAAGUUUGUCUUUGGUUAUUAUGGGAAACAAAUACAUAUCCUAAAUGCUAUUAAUGUUUGCUAAAAUAGUAAAUGCCUUUUUAUGCAGCCACUAAUAAAUGGAGUUCCUGUUCCAGGUUUGCACAGCUAAUUCAGCAUGAAUAACCAGAAAGUAAAAUCUAUGAAAUCCCCCAACUAUGUCCACUCUCAUCUACAUCCACCAUAAAAAAUAAUAAUAAAAAUAAAACCAAACAACAAACAAAAACUCUUUGUGCCUCCUGUAGCUUAGGAUAAGGAAGUUGCCUAUCACAUGGGUUAAAUACCUCACUACACAUACCCAAUAUAACAUGUUUACCUGAAUAUUGUUACAAACCUUUUCCUGUAGAGGACUCUUGCACUUAUCAAGGGCUUAACUGGUAAGGAAGUGGCUACUAAAGAGGCCCUACCCAGUGUAUCCUUUGGUCUCCUUUGUGCUUCCCUUUCCUGCCUCCUGCCUCCUGCCUCACCAGCCCAAAGGCUCUGCCUUGGACUUCCUUUGGUCCCAGUUUUAUUCUUAUGUUUUCUGACCACCUCUUGCCAGCAUCCAAAUGCUCUCUGCAUGCUGCCCUACACCCCAUCUCCUUUCUAAAUCUCGAUCUGGUUUCUCUUUCGGAAACAUGUUUCAGUACAAAGCGUUUCCCUUCUGACACCACUGAAGAAAAAUAUGUGUCCAUUGUUGUGAGAGGCCUUAUUGUGCCUGGAUUACCAUACUGACCGUUGGCUAACCCAUAUUCCUCCCCUCCCCAGUAACAAGAUGCAGGCUGAGGUACCCCAGCAGCUCCACAGAUUCUGAGCUGUAGUAAAACCCCACCUUAUAGUCCCUGGAUUUUCUGAGGGGCAAAAAAUAAAAUAAAAUAUAAAAUAAACAAUUCAGAAUUUAGAGGGUAAAAAGAAGGAAAAUAAAGAUCAUUCCCACUCUCUGAAGUCCAGGGCUUGGGUUGUUGUUUUUUAAUGUAUGUACUUUGUAUUGUUUUAGGGAUUACAAAUUACAGCAUGCUUCUUUCCUUUUCCUCAAAUAAAUUGACUUUUAGAUGGUAUGCAAUCAGGCAAUUCAUUUCAUUUUGAUUUUUUUCUCCCCCCGGGCAACUUGAAAAUCCCAAACUAAAACAAGAUUCUUGCACCAUUUUUUUUCCCUUUGUGUAUCUCUCUGUGUGUACAUGGGUAUAUGUAUGUUUUUGUCCUUUCCUAAUGCCAGCAGGCAGGACUAAUGUAUGCAAAAGAAUAUGCAAAUGCUUAAUUGAUUUUUUUCUUAAAUCUCUUGUCAGUAAAAAUAAUGAAUUGGUCUAAAAUGAUUUUAAUAACCUGGAUGUGUCACUAGAAAAUACUCAACCUUUUUCAUCCUCUUGGAACUGCUUAUUGUCUCAAAAAAAGAAAGAAAGAAAGAAAGAAAGAAAAAGAAAAAGAAAAGAAGGAAAAAAGAAAUCACAAUGUUAAUUUGUUCCCUUUAAAAUAUUAAAGAUGAAUUUCUUGUGUUUGUUCAGAGACCAUAGGCAAAGUCCUCUUGCAGAUCUCCCCCGCCUUGCCUUCCUUGGAAUUCAAUUUUCCUCAAAUCUCGUUUAAAGUGGCUUUUAAAAAAGUGGCCGCAUUUUAAUAUUGGUUAGACAGAGUGACCUGCAUUUCACCUCGGGUGUUUGACUUGUUCCAAUAGGUCACUGCCAUGGGGUUAUUGAUGGGGAAACUCCAUUGAAAUUUGUCUCUUCGCAAAUGGCCUUUAGAUCUUCCAGCGAGUUCAAUAACUAGUUAUAAUGUGGAAGAGGAAAAAUGAAGGCCCUGGGCUAACGAAUUUGAUGCUUCAUUUUUAUGCUAGAGAAAUUGUUAGUUAGAGGUUGGGUUCCCCCACCCCCUGUUCAUCCCAUCUUGGGUCACCCCCCCCAUUCAAAGCUGCUGGAUUAUAUCUCCUAUUAAGACUUGCAUUGAGGAGUCCCUUUCUCUCUGAUGCAAACCUUAUGAAUACUGUUGUAAACUCUGACCUACCUACAGAUUAGGAGGAAGCUUGCUUUGUUGGAGGUUUGGAACCUGAACUUUUUUGUUAUGAGAACUUUCAAAGGAGAAUAAAUACGUCUUGAAAAAAAAUCUAGAGAUUAGGCUGGCCAUAGUUUAGAGAGAGCUCCUUGGCACCCAACGUGGAGGAAACUGAAAACUCUUUUUGAGGGUUGACAGGGUAUUUCAAGGUGUUCUAGUGUAUUCCUGGCCUCAGAGUUUCCAGCCACAAGAGAGAGUAGGCACCAAAGACCAAGACAAGAAGACAAUCAAGGACUAAGCAUAGAGGGGAAUAUUUCGUGAGGGGUAAGGGGAUGCAGGGUCUUCUUUAGGGUCACAACAGCACUCCCGUGAACUUGGUUAGGUAAUUGCUCAAAGAACUCUGCUCCUUCACAAGAAGGGUGCUCCUCUAAGAAAGACCUAAAGACAAGACUGGAGAGAGAGGGGGGAGAUGAAGGGAUGAAGGCUGUAAGAUUUCCUCUUUUCUGGACGGCUCUGGAGGUGGGAGAAGAAAGGUCACAGUAAGAUAGGGUAGGUCUUCAUUUUAUUUCUUCCAACCACAGCCAAGGUGGGGAGUCCUUGACAUCCCUUGAGAUCCUCUGUGAUAAGGGACUGCACAGUUCGGCGGUCCUUGACCCAGCCACAGCAGAUCACUGCCAUUAUUAACCUCAGUAAUAACCGUGCAUCUUCUUUUUACAGAACGGAGCUCCCAGCGCCUUAUUCUUUCCUCUCUUACCCUGCUCAAAGGGGCCCAGUUUGCUCAGCCCCAAACCUCCCCGUGACCUCCUUCCAAGCCUCAGUCUAUCACCGGAGUCAUCCAAAAGAUCCGUGUUAUCAGUGGGAUCAAGGAGAAGCCUCAACUGCCAAUAGGCGUCUUAACAGCAUAAAAACAGGGAAGCCCAUGAAUGGGCUGUGGCAGCCGCUGGAUAGGCCCGGGAGGUUUCCCACUUCCUAGCCCAGCGGGAAACAACAGCAAGGAGUUCUGAACUUCCCGCAGCGGCUACGCGCGUCCGGAGGACAGGCCAGUUACACCCGCAUGCUUGCCACCUCGGGGUGGGGGGAGGCCCAAUACUUAGGCCACAGAACCUCGGACCGCCCCCCCCCAGCCUCACCCUUCCCCGUUCUAAUUACGUGAUUGAUUUUCUCUAGGGUUUCUUCGGGACGCCUCUGUCUCUGAAUGUUUAAAUCUUUCGGCUCCAUUUUUGUUUUCCCGAGUUCUCCCGAGAUGUGCCGGCGGCCGGCGCGUUUUGAGGUCCCUAGGCCGUCUCGCCUUACACUCCAAAGAAAUGGCCAAGCCACACAGUCCUGGGCGCGCCGAGACUGCAACUAUAUGAUCCUGCCCACCCGCCUCGGAGUCACUUGAUGAUGCGCGAGCCUUCUAGUUUGAGCUGUCCCCUGGCGCCUGACCUGGGAUCUGGGAACUCUGGUUCGUGUUUCUAUUUAUCCCCAAGAAAGUGCGGAAAAAGCCUGGGCUGAGACCAAAGGAGGCAGGACGCGGGUUCAGACUCGCAGCCUGGUGAACACCUGGACUCGGUACUGGCUAUCUAGCAACCCUGAGAAGCACAUCUGACCACAAUUCCACAAGCCCUGGCGUCCUUUGGACCACAGGCCCUGAGGUCCUGGCUGCGGACCCCAACAAGCAUCAGGCGAUAGGGUCGGAUUGUUACCCGCUGCCAGGAGGCCCCUCAACUUGGCCGCCCCAGCAGCAGACGGCGGCCUUUUCUGGUGGCUUCUGUCCGGGACCCUGUGGUCCGGCCCCCUCCACUCAAAGGCUGCAGGUGAGGCGAGGAGGGGAAAGGGCAGACAUGUUAAAUUUGAGAGUGGGUUAGGGUAAGGUGGAAGUGGAGGACUAGAGUCUAGAACUCAGCCUCUCCGAAGAGAAGGCCGACUGACCUCUUGCUCCCCUUUACCAUCCGGAAAGAAAAACUUUCAUCUCCCAACUGCUGGGCUUCUAGUCCAUCUCUUUAUUUACAAUUAAUAAACACUCCUCUGCUUCCAC
Long non-coding RNA from Mastomys coucha (southern multimammate mouse), 5132 nucleotides. RefSeq lists it as uncharacterized. The transcript has 2 exons. The record is from RefSeq and is a predicted model, not a curated record. Lineage: Eukaryota; Metazoa; Chordata; Mammalia; Rodentia; Muridae.